RNAcentral lists this unclassified non-coding RNA (290 nucleotides) under plant metagenome. RNAcentral describes it as "partial contains small subunit ribosomal RNA and internal transcribed spacer 1". The stretch from base 1 to 46 matches the Rfam family "Eukaryotic small subunit ribosomal RNA", at positions 1786 to 1831 of the family's 1831-position model. The record is from RNAcentral.
CAGUCGUAACAAGGUUUCCGUAGGUGAACCUGCGGAAGGAUCAUUAUUGAAAUAAACCUGAUGAGUUGCUGCUGGCUCUCUAGGGAGCAUGUGCACACUUGUUGUCUUUAUAUCUCCACCUGUGCACCUUUUGUAGAUCUGGAUAUCUCUCUGAGUGCCUAGCAAUUCAGGUUUGAGGAUUGACUUCAUUGUCUCUCCUUACAUUUCCAGGCCUAUGUUUUUUCAUUAUACCCCAAUAUGUAUGUCAUAGAAUGUAAUAAAUGGGCCUUUGUGCCUAUAAAUCUAUACAA